GUACCAGAUGAAUAAGCACCGGCUAACUCCGUGCCAGCAGCCGCGGUAAUACGGAGGGUGCAAGCGUUAUCCGGAUUCACUGGGUUUAAAGGGUGCGUAGGCGGGCAGGUAAGUCAGUGGUGAAAUCUCCGGGCUUAACUCGGAAACUGCCGUUGAUACUAUCUGUCUUGAAUAUCGUGGAGGUGAGCGGAAUAUGUCAUGUAGCGGUGAAAUGCAUAGAUAUGACAUAGAACACCAAUUGCGAAGGCAGCUCGCUACACUGUUAUUGACACUGAGGCACGAAAGCGUGGGGAUCAAACAGGAUUAGAUACCCUGGUAGUCCACGCCCUAAACGAUGAAUACUCGACAUACGCGAUACACAGUGUGUGUCUGAGCGAAAGCAUUAAGUAUCCCACCUGGGAAGUACGACCGCAAGGUUGAAACUCAAAGGAAUUGACGG
Molecule: ribosomal RNA, 439 nt
Filed under: uncultured Chitinophagaceae bacterium
Lineage: Bacteria; Pseudomonadati; Bacteroidota; Chitinophagia; Chitinophagales; Chitinophagaceae
Description: bacterial SSU rRNA
Rfam family: Bacterial small subunit ribosomal RNA
Source: RNAcentral